GUAGGGAAUCUUGCGCAAUGGGCGAAAGCCUGACGCAGCCAUGCCGCGUGAAUGAUGAAGGUCUUAGGAUUGUAAAAUUCUUUCACCGGGGACGAUAAUGACGGUACCCGGAGAAGAAGCCCCGGCUAACUUCGUGCCAGCAGCCGCGGUAAUACGAAGGGGGCUAGCGUUGCUCGGAAUUACUGGGCGUAAAGGGAGCGUAGGCGGAUAGUUUAGUCAGAGGUGAAAGCCCAGGGCUCAACCUUGGAAUUGCCUUUGAUACUGGCUAUCUUGAGUAUGGAAGAGGUAUGUGGAACUCGGAGUGUAGAGGUGAAAUUCGUAGAUAUUCGGAAGAACACCAGUGGCGAAGGCGACAUACUGGUCCAUUACUGACGCUGAGGCUCGAAAGCGUGGGGAGCAAACAGGAUUAGAAACCCUAGUAGUCC
Molecule: ribosomal RNA, 425 nt
Filed under: uncultured bacterium
Lineage: Bacteria
Description: partial 16S ribosomal RNA
Rfam family: Bacterial small subunit ribosomal RNA
Source: RNAcentral